RNAcentral lists this ribosomal RNA (376 nucleotides) under uncultured bacterium. RNAcentral describes it as "bacterial SSU rRNA". It matches the Rfam family "Bacterial small subunit ribosomal RNA", at positions 524 to 898 of the family's 1533-position model. The record is from RNAcentral.
UACGUAGGUGGCAAGCGUUGUCCGGAAUCAUUGGGCGUAAAGAGCGCGUAGGUGGCUUGCCAGGUCUGAUGUGAAAACUUGGGGCUCAACCCUAAGCCUGCAUCAGAAACCGGCUUGCUAGAGUCUGGGAGAGGAGAGUGGAAUUCCUGGUGUAGCGGUGAAAUGCGUAGAUAUCAGGAGGAACACCGGUAGCGAAGGCGGCUCUCUGGAACAGCACUGACACUGAGGCGCGAAAGCUAGGGGAGCGAACAGGAUUAGAUACCCUGGUAGUCCUAGCCGUAAACGAUGGACACUAGGUGUCGGGGGUGUCGACUCCCUCGGUGCCGAAGCUAACGCAUUAAGUGUCCCGCCUGGGGAGUACGGCCGCAAGGCUAAA